UUUUUCUUUUGCGGUGUCUCUAAAAAAUUAGUUUAUUUGAGGCCUUAAGUUUUCUUUUGUUUGAGAAUUGAAAAAUUCUUUCUAAUGCCCUUUACACAUUACCCCUUUUCAAUUCUACCAUAUUAUAUUUACCAUUUUCAUUUAUACCCUCUUUAAAUUUUUAAUGACCAUUUAACCCCUAUUUGUAAAUUGAUUUAGGUUAAUAAAAUGAAGUAUUAAUAUUUUCGCCUAAAAUAUUCCAAAAUAAAAUUUCCUGCCAAAAAAUUUGGGAAAAAACUUCACGUCAAAAAUUUCGGAAAAAAAAAUUCCCGCCAAAAUUUUCCCGCAAAAAAAUUUCGGAAAAAUUUUCCGCCAAAAUUUUUUUCGAAAAUAUUUUUCCCGUAAAUUUUUUGUUUUGGCGGGAAAUAGAUUUACAAGGGAUUUUAAAAGGGGUUUAAAAGAUUUACAAGAGAUUUUAAAAGGGUUUAAAAGAUUUACAAGGGAUUUUAAAGGACUUUAAAAGACUUACAAGAGUUUUUUUAAAGAUUUUUAAAGGGUUUAAAAAUGUUUUAAAAGAUUUACAAGGGAUUUUUAAAGGGUUUUAAAAGAUGUACAAGAGUUUUAAAAGAUUUUAAAAGAAUUUAUAAAAAAAACCUUUAAAAACUCUUGUAAAUCUUUUUAAAACCUGUUUUAAAGGUUCAGAAGAGAUUUAAAAUGGUUCAAAAAGAGUAAUAAAUGUUUUCAAUACUUACAAUUCUUUUUCUAAGAGUUAAAAAAUGCUUGUAAAAACUUUAUAAGAGUUUUAAAAGGAUUUAUAAAGGUUUAAAAUCCCUUGUAAAUCAUUCUUUGACAUUUAAAAACGAUUGUAAAUCAUUUUAACCCCUUUUAAAAUCUCUUGUAAAUCAUUCAAUGUCACUUACUUAUGCUUUAAAACGAUUGUAAACCAUACAAACACUUUUAAAAUCCCUUGUAAAUCAUUCUAUGCCACUUACUUAUGCUUUAAAAACGAUUGUUAAAUCAUGUUGUACCCUUUUAUAAGCUUUUAAAAUCCCUUGUAAAUCAUUCUAAUGCCACUUACUUAUGCUUAAAAAAACAUUGUGAACCAUGCUAACCCUUUUUAAAACUCCUUGUAAAUCAUUUUAUGCCAAUUACUUAUGCUUUAAAAACGAUUGUAAAUCAUGUUUUACCCUUUUAUAAGCUUUUAAAAUCCCUUGUAAAUCAUUCAUUGCCACUUACUUAUGCUUAAAAAACGAUUGUAAACCAUGCUAACCCUUUUUAAAUCCCUUGUAAAUCAUUGUAUGUCACUUACUUAUGCUUUAAAAACGAUUGUAAAUCAUGUUUUACCUUUUUAUAAGUUUUUAAAAUCCCUUGUAAAUCAUUUAAUGCCACUUACUUAUGCUUAAAAAACGAUUGUAAAUCUUGUAAAACUAUUAUAAAAAGCUUUAAAAAGAUUUACAAAGGUUUUAAAAGGGGUUUUAAAGUAUUUACCUAUGUUUUUAAAGACUUUAUAAAA
Molecule: small RNA, 1492 nt
Filed under: Arabidopsis thaliana (thale cress)
Lineage: Eukaryota; Viridiplantae; Streptophyta; Magnoliopsida; Brassicales; Brassicaceae
Description: ATSL288440
Source: RNAcentral